Molecule: ribosomal RNA, 497 nt
Filed under: uncultured bacterium
Lineage: Bacteria
Description: partial 16S ribosomal RNA
Rfam family: Bacterial small subunit ribosomal RNA
Source: RNAcentral
GAUGAACGCUGGCGGCGUGCCUAAUACAUGCCAGUCGAGCGAACGGACGAGAAGCUUGCUUCUCUGAUGUUAGCGGCGGGCGGGUGAGUAACACGUGGAUAACCUACCUAUAAGACUGGGAUAACUUCGGGAAACCGGAGCUAAUACCGGAUGAUAUUUUGAACCGCAUGGUUCAAAAGUGAAAGACGGUCUUGCUGUCACUUAUAGAUGGAUCCGCGCUGCAUUAGCUAGUUGGUAAGGUAACGGCUUACCAAGGCAACGAUGCAUAGCCGACCUGAGAGGGUGAUCGGCCACACUGGAACUGAGACACGGUCCAGACUCCUACGGGAGGCAGCAGUAGGGAAUCUUCCGCAAUGGGCGAAAGCCUGACGGAGCAACGCCGCGUGAGUGAUGAAGGUCUUCGGAUCGUAAAACUCUGUUAUUAGGGAAGAACAUAUGUGUAAGUAACUGUGCACAUCUUGACGGUACCUAAUCAGAAAGCCACGGCUAACUACGUG